CACAUUCAAUAAGCGGAGGAAAAGAAACUAACAAGGAUUCCCCUAGUAACUGCGAGUGAAGCGGGAAAAGCUCAAAUUUAAAAUCUGGCGGUCUCUGGCCGUCCGAGUUGUAAUCUAGAGAAGUAAUGCCCGUGCUGGACCGUGUAUAAGUCUCCUGGGAUGGGGCGUCAUAGAGGGUGAGAAUCCCGUCUUUGACACGGACUACCAGUACAUUGUGGUAUGCUCUCAAAGAGUCGAGUUGUUUGGGAAUGCAGCUCAAAAUGGGUGGUAAAUUCCAUCUAAAGCUAAAUAUUGGCGAGAGACCGAUAGCGAACAAGUACCGUGAGGGAAAGAUGAAAAGAACUUUGGAAAGAGAGUUAAACAGUACGUGAAAUUGCUGAAAGGGAAACGCUUGAAGUCAGUCGCGUUGGCCGGGGAUCAGCCUUGCUUUUGCAUGGUGUACUUUCUGGUUGACGGGUCAGCAUCAAUUUUGACCGCUGGAAAAAGACCUGGGGAAUGUGGCAGCUUCGGCUGUGUUAUAGCCCCUAGUCGCAUACAGUGGUUGGGAUUGAGGAACUCAGCACGCCGCAAGGCCGGGUUUCGACCACGUUCGUGCUUAGGAUGCUGGCAUAAUGGCUUUAAGCGACCCGUCUUGAAACACGGACCAAGGAGUCUAACAUGCCUGCGAGUAUUUGGGUGGAAAACCCAAGUGCGUAAUGAAAGUGAAAGUUGAGAUCCCUGUCGUGGGGAGCAUCGACGCCCGGACCAGAACUUUUGGGACGGAUCCGCGGUGGAGCAUGUAUGUUGGGACCCGAAAGAUGGUGAACUAUGCCUGAAUAGGGUGAAGCCAGAGGAAACUCUGGUGGAGGCUCGUAGCGAUUCUGACGUGCAAAUCGAUCGUCAAAUUUGGGUAUAGGGGCGAAAGACUAAUCGAACCAUCUAGUAGCUGGUCUGC
This 934-nucleotide ribosomal RNA is filed under the name Agaricus xanthodermus var. xanthodermus. Its description in RNAcentral is "LSU rRNA". It matches the Rfam family "Eukaryotic large subunit ribosomal RNA", at positions 39 to 959 of the family's 3401-position model. Lineage: Eukaryota; Fungi; Basidiomycota; Agaricomycetes; Agaricales; Agaricaceae. The record is from RNAcentral.